UACGUAGGGGGGCAAGCGUUAUCCGGAUUUACUGGGUGUAAAGGGAGCGUAGACGGUGACGUAAGUCAGAUGUGAAAGCCCGGGGCUCAACCCCGGGACUGCAUUUGAAACUAUGUUGCUAGAGUGCAGGAGAGGUAAGUGGAAUUCCUAGUGUAGCGGUGAAAUGCGUAGAUAUUAGGAGGAACACCAGUGGCGAAGGCGGCUUACUGGACUGUAACUGACGUUGAGGCUCGAAAGCGUGGGGAGCAAACAGGAUUAGAUACCCAGUAGU
This 271-nucleotide ribosomal RNA is filed under the name uncultured bacterium. Its description in RNAcentral is "partial 16S ribosomal RNA". It matches the Rfam family "Bacterial small subunit ribosomal RNA", at positions 524 to 794 of the family's 1533-position model. The record is from RNAcentral.